CAUAAGCCACAAAACAUUGUUGAUUUGUGUCUGCGCUUGUUGACUUGUGGUUACUUGUUUGAACAAUCAACAAUGACAACAAUAAUUAAGGCAUUCUUGCUAACAUUACUUUUACAUGAAAUUGAUUGUCAAACCUUCACGCAGUCUCAAGCUGUGGUUAAAAGACCUGAUGAAUCUUUUAAACUGAUCUGCACCGCUUCUGGAUUUACAUUCAGUAGUUAUGAGGUAGCUGUGGUUAGACAGGCUCCUGGUAAAGGACUGGAAUGGAUUGCAUUCAUCAGUACAUCCAGCACUCCAAUCCACUAUUCCCAGUCAGUUCAGGGAAGAUUCACAGUGUCCAGAGACGACUCCAGCAGUCAACUGUAUCUACAGAUGAACAGACUAAAGGCUGAAGACACAGCUGUGUAUUACUGUACCAGACAGUCACAGUGAAUCAGUCCAAUGGC
Non-coding RNA from Misgurnus anguillicaudatus (oriental weatherfish), 446 nucleotides. NCBI's taxonomy places the organism in Eukaryota, Metazoa, Chordata, Actinopteri, Cypriniformes, Cobitidae. The record is from the annotation of a RefSeq genome assembly.